GGCCAGCAGCCGCGGUAAUACGUAGGGGGCAAGCGUUGUCCGGAAUGAUUGGGCGUAAAGGGCGCGUAGGCGGCCUGUUAAGUCUGGAGUGAAAGUCCUGCUUUUAAGGUGGGAAUUGCUUUGGAAACUGGCGGGCUGGAGUGCAGGAGAGGUUAGUGGAAUUCCCGGUGUAGCGGUGAAAUGCGUAGAGAUCGGGAGGAACACCAGUGGCGAAGGCGACUAACUGGACUGUAACUGACGCUGAAGCGCGAAAGUGUGGGGAGCAAACAGGAUUAGAUACCCUGGUAGUCCACACGGUAAACGAUGAAUGCUAGGUGUAGGGGGUAUCGACCCCUUCUGUGCCGGAGUAAACACAAUAAGCAUUCCGCCUGGGGAGUACGGCCGCAAGGUUGAAACUCAAAGGAAUUGACGGGGGCCCGCACAAGC
RNAcentral lists this ribosomal RNA (426 nucleotides) under uncultured bacterium. RNAcentral's name for it is "bacterial SSU rRNA". It matches the Rfam family "Bacterial small subunit ribosomal RNA", at positions 506 to 930 of the family's 1533-position model. The record is from RNAcentral.